CAGAAGGCUAACCACCCCCCCCUCGGCGGCCACGGCCUCCGCCCGUGGCCCACAAUCCCCCGGCGCGGCGCGGGGGCGUGCUUCCGGUGGCGGGGCUCGGAGCCCUUCACCUUUCCUGCGCCGGGAACGGUCCCGGCGACGCUCCGCCCUCUGCAGAUUAAUAGUUCUUCCCAUCGCCUCGUCGGAAGAAUAAUGCACUAAAAAAAUUCCGGAUUCUACAGAUCUUCUAGGCCAAAGUUCUAAAUACUUCUACACUCCUCCUACAAACCAUUUGCAUUGGCCUAAGAACCACAUAAUCACGGUUACUCCAGCAACAGCCCCACUUGUAAGUACCUGCGUGUCAGAACAGGGUCCAAGAAUGGAGCUGUGGGAGAACUCGGAGUGUUUGUGAGAAAACGUCAAGAAAACAGGAGUCUGUCGCCUUAGUUCUUCAAACCAUGGAACUGUUGUUGCAAUUGUUUUCAUUCUCCUCCCGGGUGUAGCAGACGGGAGUGCGUUUACUUCCGAUUAUUCACCACAAGUGGCUAUUGUUAUUUGUAUAUAUGCCUCUAUGGAAAAACAGGUUUUUGCUACGUGCAGCUUGCGUUUGUACACUUUACUCAUGUGAUUCUUCCAACCCUCAGAGUAUAAAUUGUCUGAUGCUCUGAAUGAAGUUGGCUAUUGCAUGAGA
Molecule: non-coding RNA, 670 nt
Organism: Peromyscus maniculatus bairdii (prairie deer mouse)
Lineage: Eukaryota; Metazoa; Chordata; Mammalia; Rodentia; Cricetidae
Source: RefSeq, a predicted model, not a curated record